CUUGAGAUAAUCAGGCAUGGAAGUGUGAUUGUACCAGAGGCACUGUGACACCUUAGCCCUGAACACAAAUGUGGAAAUUGAAGUGGGGAGACGAGAGAUGAUCAGCCUAGGAGCCUCUGGAGGUGACCAUGGGGAUGAGGGGUCUUCAACCCAUAGGGAGGAGCUCUCAGUGGUCUUGACUGCCCCAAAUAAGACAGACUAUGGUUAGGAAGGCAGCUUGAGGUCACACCCAGGACCCAUCUGGACACUGCUCUGAGAUUCUGGGCGGGUACUGGGUCUCUGGGAGGAGGGUCCUGAUGCCUAUCCCAUAGUGGCUGCAGGUGGAGGUCAAAUUAGCUUCUCCUUUCUAGCAGGCUGGUGGGUUGGCGGCUCCGAUUACCAUCCUGGGGCCAACCCUUGGGCUAGAAUUAGCAUAGACUCAGUAUGGGUGCCCCUUGUCGCAUCUGGUUUCCAGCGCUAGCGGAGUCUGGUGACCCCAGCCGCCAAGCGUUCUACCGGUUGCCAGGCUAGGGGCUCCGGAAGGACCAGGACUUGCGAUGGGGACUCAGGGGUGCGGGGCAGCGCUCAGAGGCCAACUUGAG
This 581-nucleotide long non-coding RNA is filed under the name Marmota monax (woodchuck). The record is from RNAcentral. Lineage: Eukaryota; Metazoa; Chordata; Mammalia; Rodentia; Sciuridae.